UGAACCCAGGCAGAUGGGCCUCAGUGUCUGGGCAUAUCCUAUAAUGUACAUCACAUCUCCGAGAUGAGCUGGCCGCUACAAGCUCACCGAGUGCUCCCUGCAGCCCUCACAGCUCAGCCACAGCUGCCUGACUCGUCCACGCGGACAGGUGGGAUUCUUCCCGACCCGGUAGGCCUCUUUCUCACCUGGGUGCAGGGGCCCUGUGGAGGGAGCCAGGUCCUGUGCCACCUUUGUGCCUCAUGGCCCUGGGGCUGCCUCUUGGACAUAGACUCGACAUUCACUCUCAAGCCACUCAUGUGUCUGCAGGAACCACGAGCUGGGCCUCCGAAUGUUCCUGACCCUUGUGUGAGUGGCAGGGUCUGUGUCCAGUGAGGUCCAGAGGUUGUGUGAAGUUCAAAGAGCAAAGUUUGAGGCAGCUGCUGCUUCUGAGGCCUCUUUGGAGCCACGUGGUGAGGCUAUGGGGAUUCUUCUCUGCUUAUGGCAACUGGGGAGCACAGGUCAGCCUUGGGAAGUGAGUCCCCUUUUGGGUUAAAAGAACAGCAGCUCAGGGUCUGGAAGGGAGGUCGCUGAAUGAGUUGAUGGAUGGUGCCUGCCACUGAAGGAGUUUUCCUUGCCCCUUCAUGGAGAGGGCUGAGGAAAUACCCUGGACCUGCCACAGAGACAAGUGAGGAAAGAAGAGGGUGAGAGUCUGAUCAUGUAUGUGUGAAUGUCCAUCAGGUUCUAGACUGGAAAACGCCAUAUCUUUGGGUUUAAGGUCAUAUUUUCUGAUUUGAAGAAUGAAUUGCAAAGUCAGAUUUAGAGGACUGUUACUUUUUCAUCAGGAAGAUCUAACCUGGAGGACACAGACAGCAGGAACUUCCCAGCCAAAGUGCCCGGGGAUCACGUGGUAAGUGACGACCAUCACUUACUAUGUCUUAAAAUAUGAAGACAUCAAAAGAACUCUAAGUGGGGACUCAAACAGAUAUUUGCACACCAUGUUCAUUGUGCAUUAUUCACAAAGCCAAAAGGUGGAAACAACCCAGAUGUCCAUCAACAGAUGAAUGGAUAAACAAAUGUGGCCUGUCCACACAAUGGAACACUAAACCUUAAAAGAGGACAUUCUGACACCUGCUACAACUUGGAUGAAGCUUGAAGACUUACACUGAAUGAAAUAAGCUAUAACAAAAGUCAAAUGUUGUAUGAUUCUACUCAUAAAAGGUGCCUAGAGUAGUCAGACUCAGUGGACAGAAAGUAGAGUGGUGGGUCCAAGGGCUGAAGGAAGAGGGAGAGAGAGUCAGUGUUUGAUGGGGGCACAGUUUCGGUUUGGGAUGAUGCAAAAGUUCUGGAGAUGGACAAUGUGAUGGCUGCACAACCAUGUGAAGGUCUUUCAUACCACUGAAGUGCACGCUUAAAAGCAAUUAAAUGGUAAGUUUCACGUUAUGUGUACUCUACUACAACACACAUACACACACACACAGAUCUGUGUCUUAGAUGAGUUAUUCUGAGUAGGACAGCCCCAUCUGGUCUGGUGUAGCAGUCUCUUUGUUUACAUAGGAAGGGUCUUAUAGGAAUACCUGUUCUCAGAUAUUAAUCAAAGCAACACCUUCCUCCUCUCUGUUGUAGUUUAUUCUGAGAGCCACCUGUCAAAUCCAGAUUCUGGCCCAUCUGGGAAAUUAACAGCUAUCUGCAGAUUUAAGGCCAUAACCCAGUGGCCUUCCUACAUCGAGCCCUUCUUUCCUCAGGGACGCUCUGUGCAAAGGCCCUGCUCAGCCUCGUGCUGGUGGUUCUGACUGCCACAGGAGAGGCAGCAUUGCAGGACCCGGUGGGCAGUGUGGUGUCAGGUGGGGCUGCAGACGGCUGCCAGGCCAACCACUGCCGUUCUGGACAAAGGCCCAGCCCGUCCUGGCCUCCUAAUUGCUACUCCCUUGAAUAUGCUGGAAGCCUACUGACGACGAAACAUCACCCAUCUGGGAUGCCUUGUGCUGUGUAACUUCUAAGUGUUUUACACAGACAGCUCUGUGAGGUGUCUGUUAUCAUCUCCAGGCAUCUUUCCAGGCCUCACAACUGGUCAUAGAAAGAUCUGGGCCUGAAUCCAAGCAAGCUUCUUCUUCUCCCGGCUCCAGUUGAGUUGCCAGCCCUCCCUCAAGCAGGUUUCUCUCUGGAAAGGCAGUUGUUAGGAACAACAGCUGGAGAUCUGCAGGCAGGCAAUGAGCAGGUGGUCCAGGGUUCUUGAAUGAACAAGUGUGGGUCCCAAGCACAGUUUUGAAAGGUCUCACUCUCAAUUCCUGAGUCUAACUUGUGUCCAUUGCAGCUGAGGGACCUGGGUUGCUUUCCUGGGUCUUGGCCUAGAACUCCUGCAACUAUCUCAGUCGUAUAGAUGAGAGAGUCAGAGGCUCUCAGGACAUGCGAGACACUAUCAGGCCCUUUCCCAAGGGGACAGGGGCACUUGGGUUAGUGCAUUUGAUGAGAUGGAGUGACGUUUGUUUGUGCCCCCCCACCCCACUUUCUGCUCCUUUCCCCUCCACACACCAGUGUGUGCACACACACCCAUGGACAUGCAGAGGACACACACACACACACACACACACACACACACACACACAUUCUUUCUUGAAAUGACUUUGGCAGAAGCAAAGCCAAAUCUUUCUAAUUCUCUGUAAAUAAGGUAAAAAGGAGAUAACUCUACGCCAGAGAAAGACCUUCUCACCAGGUUGAAUUAGGAGGCUGCCUGCCCUUCACCAUUUUCAGGACAAAACAUUGGCCAAUGGUUUCCCUGAGCCCUCACCCCAGGAAACUAAUUAGGGUCGCAUGUGACAGCAGGGGACGUUUCCAGUCCAUGAACUAGGGUCGCAGGUACUCUGAGAACUUCCCUCACAAUCUGCUUUCUAAGGCACGUGCCCUGAAACAAGGCGUUGUGACCACUGUCUUCAGCUCUUGGUAAUCUGGAAUCCCCCUUCUCAGCUACAGGCCUCUCCCGGGAAGGGGUCAACCAGAAAGCAGGAAAGAACACACAGGCUUGUGAACGCAGAGCAGUGUGGAGUGUAAAGUGCCUCAGCCAGUCAUCGAAAAUAAGAAAGGAGUCCAAUGUCAAAGCUGACAUUGUCGUGCUCAUUUCCAAGUACUGUGGGGCUUUUUCAUGUUGGUUUCAUGGAAAUUUAUGUUUGCGGAGAAGACUGUGUUUGCUAUAGGAUCUUGCUGUGUUCAUUUAGCCCAGUAAUAAAAACCAUC
Manis javanica (Malayan pangolin) is the source of this 3207-nucleotide long non-coding RNA. RefSeq lists it as uncharacterized. The record is from RefSeq and is a predicted model, not a curated record. NCBI's taxonomy places the organism in Eukaryota, Metazoa, Chordata, Mammalia, Pholidota, Manidae.